This 11952-nucleotide long non-coding RNA is filed under the name Lathyrus oleraceus (garden pea). Its description in RNAcentral is "Pisum sativum (pea) long non-coding RNA (PSAT_LNC004149)". The record is from RNAcentral. Lineage: Eukaryota; Viridiplantae; Streptophyta; Magnoliopsida; Fabales; Fabaceae.
UUCAGAGUCUUACCCUUUAGUCUAGGUAGAGAAUAGAUAGAUCACAAAAAUGAAUGGUUAUUCAAAGAUUGGUAGCACUUCUACUACUACAACCCAGAAAUCAAGAUCUAUAGAUUUUUCAGAUAUUUUCUCAUUUUCUCAAACACCAAAACCCAUCAGGAACACUACUACUGUUGUCCCUCCAACCACUCUUGAAGCAAUUAAUGAUAAUGAGGUCAUCAAGAAGAGGGAAGUAGAUGAAGGAGAGAGAUUUGGAGUGAUACUAGGUAGGAGCUCUUCAGUUUCAUCUUCAUCUUGUUCUGCAUCUGGGUUUCAGGCAACAAUGGAGAGAGCAUUUUCAAUAAGAUCUUCAUCGUCAGUUUCAGAGAGGUAUUGUAGGAUCCAUGAUCAGAACAUGGUAACAACAUCAUCAGAUGAUGAUGCAACGAAGAAGAAAAAACAUAGAGGAGGCAAGAUCCUUAAAGUCUGUAAGCGUUUCUUUGGAUUCUAGUUAAUAAUAGUAUUGUUGUAUAAUGAGAUUUGAAGGUUAAUUAAUUAACUAACUCUUUCAUUCCUUAUAAUUACUAUCCGUCUUAAUAAUUAGUUACAAAAAGGAAAGUAGAUUUUGUAAUGAGCUACUUUAAUUGAUUGUAAAGCAUAGAGAGGUUCAAGUGGAUAUGGAAUCUAGUAAUAAAUUUCCUUGUACGACGGAAAGAACAACAGUAGCAUCCAAAAAUGUGCCUUAAUGUUUCUGCGUAUGGAUUGGAGUUCCAAUUGCAUUCAACUUGGGAUUUCAAGAGAGUAUUAUACUAUCCUGUCGUCGUAUCCUUAAUUUAAAAAUGACAUUUUUUUUUAAUGUAUUUUAUAUAUUUCUUAGUCACCAAUGCAAAAAGAUUUAAAUGAUUAUAGGUUACACAAAAAAGAUUUAAAUAAUUAUAGGUUUUUGAUUUGUAUCUCUAGAAGUAUUCAAGGUUAAGUUAAUGUUAAAGUAUUUCGAAAAUACAUAUUCGAAUAUAUGUCGAAGAUGCAUCUCCCGAAUAUUUUGGAGUUUAAAUUCUGUCAAAAUCUUCUCCUUCAUCAUUUCUCAUAUUUCUCAAAACCUUUUCAAACUCUUUCAAUUUUUUUUCAUCGCCAAAUCCAAAAUCAAGCAACCAAGGUCAGAGAAACUUCAAUCAACAUCAGAAAUAUCAUCUAACACUUAAGCAAAGUGAAACAUCGUAAGUUUUUUUGAUGUUUUGAAAAGUUUUUGAAGUUUUGUUUAAAUGAGUAGAAAUUGACGAUUAAGUUAGGAAAUGAGUAGAAAUUAGAUGAUUGAUAGUUCAAACAUAGUGUAAAACAUGAUAGUUGAUUGAAAAUGAUGAUCAAUGCAAUAUUUUUUUGGUUUCCAUGUCUGCAUUGUUGCCACUGACGCAGCUACUGAGUUGUAAAACUUUUUGGAGAUGCAUCUCUGAAAUUUUUCAACGUUUUAGUUUCCCAGCAACCGGAGAUGCAUCUCCGGAAUUUUCUCAGUUUUUUUUAUUUUCUUGCUUGUGAUGUUGUUUGUUUGCACUAAGUGGCUGAUUUACUUUAACUUAUAUGCAUAAUGGAUGAUAGACUAGAUAGACUGGGGCACAAGAGGGUUGCACAACACGCAUCAGUGCGGCGGCAGAAGAGUCAACGGGUUUCAGAGGCUCAUUGUCCCUCUGGCCAUGCAAAGCCAUUUAUUUCUAGGACUCGUGCUUCUCCUUAUGUUUCUUCAUCUUCUUCUUCCCAUAUGAGAUGGAUUUCACCUACCGACACAUCACUCCCUCAAUCCUCCCGCGGGAGCUAGGUUUCCCUUAUUUAGGCGCCUAAGGUACCCGAGUCACCAGUGGUACCAGAGGCACCACUGCCACCUCCUACUGCUGAUGCUGCUGAGCCAGUGCCAUCUCCGGAGGGUGAGGCUGUUGCAGAUGCUGAGUCAUAGGCUUUUAGAGGAGGCCCUGUAGAUUUGUUAAUACUGCCUCAUUAUCCAGACCAUACUUCCAGACAUAUAUGAGACAGAGAGAUAGCAUUAAUUAGAUUCAUUCUUUUUAGUUUAUGUUUAUUUUAAUUGAUAAGUUUGUAACAUUGAUUUUUAUUUUUUUAAGGACUGUGAUCCGCUAAAGUUUAUUAAUCAAUGGCGAAAGAUUACUAGCUUGCCUCAGUCGAAUGACGAUUGGUUUCAGGUUACUUUGUCCCUAUCUGACCUGAAGGACUUGUGCAUGAUCAGUUAUAUUACGGUCAACCACAGGAUGCUUAAUGCAUUUGUGGAGAGAUGAAACUCGAAGACCUCCUCAUUUCAUCUCCCGCUUGGUGAGAUGUCUAUCACACUCGGCGAUGUCUCGUGUUUGCUAGAUCUUUCGAUUAGGGGGAGACUCCUAGAUAAUGAGAGGAUUACCAAAGACGAGGCAUUCGAGAUGAUGAUAGAAUAUCUAGGGGAUGACCCAGAGGAGGCGAAAGAGGAGUUGGAUAGGACCAGGGGCCUCAUGCUAGAUUUGAAUAUUUGAAAAGGGUAUAUACAAAGGACUUCCAAAGAUCACAUCAGGAUAUAGGUGAUGACGAGCAGGUGAGGCUCCACGGAGCGCAUGCUAUAAGAGCAUACUUGCUAUAUUUGGUAGGCACUGCGGUUUUUAUGGACAAGAGUGGCACUUAUACAAAUGUCGUCUACCUACGUUAGUUUCAGGAUUUUGAGAGGAUCCAUGAGUACAACUGGGGGGCGUUUGUUUGGUCUACUUGUACUCGAAGUUAUCAUAGGGUUGUAGGUGGAAGACGAAGUAGGUCAUAGGCAGUAUCAUACUAUUAACAGUAAUAUUUAUUGGUCUUUUAAUAUUUUUGUAUCAUUUUUAUUUUAUUUUUACAACGCCAUUACUUAGGAUUUAUGGAUUCCAAAAUUUUCAGGCUUAGAUCCUCCAACACUUCCCGCGCAUCUCCGGUUGAGCGAGUGUACCGACUUACUCUAAAGAUAUGUCGUGUGCUAUUGUAUUUUCCCCUCUUAGGAAAAGUCAGGCAAUUGAGUCGUUCAGAGUGUAUCUUGACCACUUGGUUGCUAAGGACAUGCACUUUAACAUCUACCGUGAGACACAUCCAUUUGACGAGGUAAUGUUAUACUCUGGAUGGUUGACAUGCGAAUCACGUUUCACUGCUUCUCAUCUGCCUGAGUGCGUCAUACGGCAGUUCGGUUACACACAGACCAUUCCCAAACACCCUGGUAUAUCUGCUCGUCCUGCUUUGACACGUAAACAGAUGGAUGACAUGUUUGAUGAUUAUGAUAGUCAUCUAAUACCGGAGGAGACACGGAGUACCAUAGCCCUGAGCGAGCAGAGCUACGUGGACGAGUACAUCAGGUGGUUCUUUAGGGUGUCACAUCCGUAUAUGGUGCAUGCUACUCCAGGAGAUCCACCGAAAUCAGCUCAUCAAGAGAUACUAGAGGAGGAGCAAGCACAGUUAGAUCAUGUUGAGGAUGUCUUGCAUACAUGUCAUCGCAUUAUGGAGAUUGCGCAAGCAGGCAUUGACAGAGGUAUCUACUCUGAUGGGUCUGAUGUGAGGCAGGUCCUAGACACCAUCAUGACGGAGGCACGAGGACAUUGAUGUAUCGGAGACAGCGCCAGAGGGCUGGGGGAUUGAUGGUCGAAUAGCCCGAGGAGGCAGAUGAGCCAGAUGAGAUGUAUUCCGACAUACACAAUAAUGCAUUAGUAUAUAGUAAUAGUAUUAUGGAUUAGAUUUUAUUUUGACAUCAUGCUACUUUAUUAUUGUUAUCAGCUUUUUUGACAUUUAUUGAUCUUUUAUUAAUAUAUGACAUUUUUGGGCCAUCUGAAUUUAUGAACAUCAUUUUUUGUAUAUCGAUUGUAUGGUUUAAAUCUUGUCACAUAAUAUGGUAUAUAACGCAAAUAAAUCUUCAACUGAAUACACGUAAACAAAACAUAACAUGAAACAUUCUGUUUUGAUACGUUACUGAGAUGUAACUCCGUAACAUAAACGGAAAUGCAUCUCCAUAAUAUUUUAAUGUCCAAUCAGAAUUUGGUAUGUCCAGAGAUGCGUCUCCGAAAUCUGGAGGCAUUUUAGUAUUUUCACAUGGUGUGUAAGCAACUCAUAGGGUGCAUUAAGAAAUUCCCUUUUAAAAAAAUCGUGCCCGAGUCCAUACUCGUGUUGGCACUAAAAUUUAUAUAAGUACUUGUAUUUUAUGUAUAUCUAAAUAUCCAUUUAUCCAUAUUUCUAAUAAAAGAUUAUCGGCAAUUAUAAUUAACUAUCAUUUUAAAUCUUUAACAUUUUAAAAAUUCAAGAAAAUUAUUUUCGAGUUAAAAUAUAAAUAAGCAUUUAUAUUAAAACGAUUACAAAUUUAAUAAUAAUAUAUUUAAUAAAAUUGAUAUAUAUAUAUAUAUAUAUUAAAAGUAUGUAUUAUGCGGAUAUGAUAUGAGGUGGUUACUUACAUUGUCCAUACUCAGUUAUUUUAGUGGAUAAUUGUUGGUACCUAUUUUCAUAUCCAUUUUGCGGAGUUUUACCCUGCUCAUUAUGAUUAAUUUUUUUGGAUAUUCACUCCGAAUGAGUCUAAUUGUUAUCCCUACAAUCAAACUAAAUUGUUCAUCAAUAAAGAAAAUGAGAAGUCUUCCUAUCACUCGCCAUUUAUAUUUGGCACUCUGACUAGGGGCUGUUAUUACCUUUAUGUAUUUAUUAAAUAUAUUUAAUUUUUUUUUGUGUUUAUUGGAUUUUUCGGAAAAAAAUACUAAAUUUUUUCAAAAUUUCAGAUAAAAACACAUUGAUUUAUGGUAAAUAUUUGAGAAAUACUUGAUUUUUUGAUUUUUUUUUAAUAAUUGUCGGUUUUUUAAGAACGGUCGCAAAUUCAUUUUUGACAAAUAAAAAUUAACACUAACGGAUUUUUAGAAAUAUCUGUUAAAUUAUAACACUUUUCAAAAAAUUUGAUGGUGUAAUUUUUAUUGUUUUUGUUUUACCAAAUAUGAACUAUCAAUAUUUUUUAAAAUUUUAAAAAUGAUCAAAAAUGUCAAAUUUAUAAAAUUAAAAAAAAAACUAGUAUGUUAAAUUUAUUUUUCAAAAAACCGAUAAAGAAUGCAUACCCUAUCUUUUAAAAUACAUUACCAAUUUUAUUUAUUUAUAUAGGAUGUUUCAAUUAUAUUGCUGGGUUUUUCAUUUGCUCCUUUUUUAUUAGUUUUAACAAAUACAUUUUGAAAAAAAAAGGCAUGUCGUGUCUCAGAAUCAGAAUUUUAUAAUAAUAACAACAUUAAUAAUAAUAAUAAUAAUAAUAAUAAUAAUAAUAAUAAUAUAUUUUAUAUAUUAUUAUUAUUAUUAUUAUUAUUAUUAUCAUUAUUAUUAUUAUUAUUAUUAUUAUUAUUAUUAUUAUUAUAAAGGAAUUCUUAUAUACCGUUCUAAAAAUUUGGGUAACAAUACUUUAUUUAAGUGGUGAAACACAAUUGGUAAGAGGAUUUUACAUCUAACUUUUAAGUAGUAUUAUUUUUUUAGCUUUUUUAAUUAUAAUAAGUAAUUUUUGGCUAAUUACUUACUUUGUUUGGCUAAUUACUAACUGACUAUUUGCCCUUCCUCUUCUUUUUAUCUAUCUUUUUAUAAUGAUAAUGUUUUUUUAUAAUUAAAUAUAUAAAUCGAAUUGUGUAAUUUAUAAUUUUAAUUUUUUUUUUAGAUUCAUGAAAUAACAUGAAAGUUUAACAAGAAUGAUUAAUUUGCUAAGUUAAAUAUGUUAGAUUGGGUAAGAAUGAAAUAUGCUAGAUUUGAACAAUAAUUAUGUUAGAUUUGAACAAAUAAUUAUGAAAUUUUAGUAUUAAAGCAUCCGCUACAUCUAUAUCAGUAAUUUAUCCUUUUAUAGUAUUUUUGGUUUAGUUUUUUAUUUUAAGUUUUAAAGUUUUGUUGAUAUUAAAUAUUAUGAAAAAUAUUUAUUUUUCUAAAUAUAUGUAAUUUAGAGAAAAGAAGUUAAAAUUAAAACACGAGUAUUUCAUGCAAUCAAAUGGCCAGUUUUAAGGCCACUCUAAUUUUUCAUUAAUAGCAAUUUUUAUCUUUUAAAAAUAAUAAAUGUUAAAAAAUGUAUUUGUUUUCUAGAUAAUUUAAUCCUAGAACUAAAAUACCUUACUUUAAAAAAUAUCUCCAAUUUUAUUUUACAUCUUAGUUUAGAGUUGACUUUUAAAAUUCCAUUCUAUUUUAAACAAUAUAUUUUCAAGAAUUGAGCAUAAAAUAAUUUUUUAUAAAAUUUUAUUUUAAAGUAGUAAUAUUAAUAUAAUUAAUUUAAAUGUAAUUAUUAUGAAAUUAUUUUACACUCAAUUUCUCGAUUUUUAUACCCAAAAAAAAUAUUUAUAAUUUAUAAUUAAAUAAAUUAAUAAUCGCCUUAUUAAAUUUUAUAUUAAUUACUAAUAUUUAUAUUAGUAUAGGUGUAAAGACUCGUCAAAAAGGGCGUCAAAGCUCUCUCAAAAUAGACGAGGUAUUAUUUCGCCCAUGCAAAGACUCCCUAUCCCUUUAUUUAUUGGAAUGAUCACCCUUGAUUGUGUUACUCAUUUCUUAAAUGACUUGUUUGGUUUGUAAUAACGUGGAGAAUGACGUGUUUCAUUCUAUAACAAUGUGAAGAGAGAGUAAAAAUGGAGGUCAUGUUCUCCAAAAUAAUAAGAAAUUUAUUGCCCACUUCAUACACCUACAAGUGGUUACUACUUCCUAGGAGUUUGAGAUACAUACCUAAAGACUUCUAUAAAUACAUCAACCAACCUUAAGGUUGAAGUUGAAUCCAAUUUAUCACACAUACAACCCUAUACACCUUUGACAAUCCUACACUAGAAGGGGUUACCACAUAUUGUACUUUUAACGAGUACAAUGGGCAUCCACCGCGUGAUCGAUAAAACUGACCUACCAUGCUUACCAUUAUUCACCAUUCAUUUUUGCCAUCUUCCCAAAGGAUGAAAAAACAAAGCUUUGAGAAUACUGUUGUUAUGGACCGGCCACAUACUCAGGAAUCCGGCCCCACCUUCAGAGAUCCCAUUACCGCAAGGAAAGGACUUCUCAAAUUGGUCUGAACCAAACGGACCCCUUUUCCGAUCCAACUGCCUUCAAGCAUAAUUCCUUGGAUCCAUCUCAACAGAUAUUAAAGCUUUGGGAACAUCCCUCAUAACCGGGGAACUUUCAGUAAUAUAUAACCAGAAGAUUCGUCCCUCCAACGCAUCUAAAGGUCAUUUGCAUCUCAUGUCGGUUAGUUAGCGAGUUGGUUAUUCAACUCCUCUGUAUAUGUGAAUGAUGUGUUUUCAGAUAACAGUUUUCAAUACAAUUUGAAUACUCUCUCUCAUCCCUCACAUACUGAGUUGAGCGUUGGAGUCCUAACCUUGGUGGUACACCCCCUGCUUUGUCGCAUUGGAAGCUCUCCUCCAUCGUAGCUUCCGUGAGCGCAUCUAUUCCUAGUUCCGGUACGGAACAUUGGCGCCGUCUGUGGAAAACGACACUUGAUUCCAGCGUAUCUUAUGAUUCCCUAUUUUCAAGUGCAUUACUCUAGCGUGAUAUUCUCCUCGACUUUGAACUGGAGGAUUCAAGGGAUAGAAGGAAAUUCAAAUGCGGUCGAUAACAUCGAAUUCAACAUUGAUUCUCUAGAUCUUCAUUGCUUAGUACCUUUGAACAUCAUUGAUCUAUAGAAAUGGAUGGAUCGAGAAUUUCUCAUUCUGUCACUGUGCACCAAGCCGUCUUGGCAGCCUCUAGUGUGACACGACCAACCACCAGUCGACCAAGCGCCACUCCUCUCGGUGGCGAAGCAAACCUCAAUAACAACACUCUUCAACAACCAAUAGUGAUUCUCCCUCUACCGCAGGAGGGAACAUUCUUGCUCUGAACUCAAUCUCCAAAUCCUACGGAUUUUCCUGAGAUCUCACGAGGUUUUGGAAUUCUUGAGAUAAACCUCAGAUCCCACGGCAUGAACGAGUUGAUCAACGACAUUAUAAUAUCGUUCAACAACAAAACUCUAAGGCGGUAUAAGAAAGGUUCCUUCGCUUAAAGGAAAGCCUUCAGCACGUUCUACUCCGGGAAAAUAUAGUACAAGAAGCUGAUUCGAAGAAAAAACAAAUUGCCCAACCAGAUCCUUCUACAACAUAAGAGGAAGUAAAAGUCCAGAAAUCGAAAGAACGUUCCCCAAAAUAGUCCAGGAGGAGACCGAGGGAGUUGCGCUCCAUCCCCGGACCUUGAUGAGUGUCAACCAAAUCAAGAGCAACCUAAAAAUCAUUUAUGUGCUUGGAUCUUGGAGAGUGAAAACCCAUAAAUCCAUGUAAAAACCUCCCAAAUUGGAAGAAUACAACGGAAAGGGGAUCCCAACGAGCAUGUGCAACUCGUCAACGACUGACUCAACUACUACUGCACCGGUGAUGCUUCCAAAUGUAAGUUAUUGGCAUUGACGUUGGUCGAACUGACACAAAUAAGGUUCAACUGCCUUUUUAACGGUUGCAUCGAGUCAUGGACAAAUUUUUGUGAUCGACUUACCGCAUAUUUUACCGCAUGAAAAAUAAAACCACUCAAUAUCGCCGCCCUUGUUGUAUCGUGUAGGAGGAAAAAGAUAGAAUGUGAUCCUACAUUGAUCGGCACACUCAAGUUAUAAUAGAAGUAGAAGGAACCGAAGAAUAUCUCCUGUGUUGGAUCUUAGAGAAUGACCUCCUUCGUGACCAUCCUUUUCAAACCAAGUUGGAAAAGAAAAAGGUGAAGGCGACUCAAGAGAUGUUAAAUCUAGAUCAACCAUAUAUAACACUGGAGGAGAAACAGAGCACUCGCUUCAAUAAUAGGCCUCAUUUAUUGAUAAUUGUCUUGAGCGCCUCAUAGGAAAAGAUCCCCGUAGCGGAGAGAAGAUAUCGACAAAGGGACAUACAACCUAUACAAUAGGUAUACUCAUCUAAACACUUCCAUGGGACGAAUCUACCUAGAGUGUGCCAACACCGAAUUCAGGAAAGCAGGAAUUUGACCUCCUAAUACUGUACGAGAAUCCACCCGAACAGAUAAAUUAAAGUAUUUUUCAUUUCCAUAGGGGGCAUGGCCAUAACACCGACGAUUCCAUCCAACUCAAGGACGCGAUUGAAUCUUUAAUCAAGAGAUGGCGUCUUUCCAAAUACAUUCAAGGCAACAAACGAGACCGAUAAGGAUCCCCUAAAACUAAAUCCCCAGUGAAGCUUCCCGAGUCCGAUGCUGGCAUUGAGAAGGGGGAAACUAGCAAGAGAAAACCGCUGCAUAUUUUCUUUAUCAUUGGUGGGAUACCUCGGGAAAAUUCCCCUUCCAAAGGGACAAUCAAGAGCAAGAUCGUUUAGACGAUGGUCGUCUACAGGGGUGGAGGCAACUCGUUGCCUAGUACCUCAUACCUACCCAUGCUGGAAUUCUAAGACUCCAAAAAAGUUAGAAGGAUACCCAACAAUUUGUUCCCCUUGGUUAUCAUAACUUUUGUGGACAAUUCAACAUUUCAUGGAUCCUAAUAAAUGGAAGAAACUUGUGUAACAUCCUUUACUCAUUGUUAUUCGAGAAAAUUAGCCUAAACCGGGAAAGUCUUAUAUCAUACGACGAUUCAGCCUUCUUGUCAUGUGUGAUGAACAGUCUGAGUCCAAGUACCAUUGAUCUUUGAAUCUUUCUUCAUCUUUUGUUGUGACCAUCAACAUCACUUAUUUUUCUUCUUCUUCGUGUUUUAUAAGUCUUGCAUUACUUUCAUGAGUAUUCCUUUUGUUUUGAGGAUAAUCACUAUCAUAUUGACCAUGCUUCUAACAACUGAAGCACUGAAUAUGACUCUUAUCAGGUUUCAACUACCACAUAUUCCUCUACCUGUAGCCUCGUCUACCUGAUUGUUUUGAUUUGUGGGUUGUCUCUAGUUCGACGAAUUUCCUUUUUGUUGGUAAUUCCUACCGUUUGAAUUGUUGUAACUUCCUCUACCUCUAUUGUUGUUCCAUAUUCCUUUGCCUUUAUUUUCUUUUGUUGAUUGUGCUUGCAGAGCUAUAUCAUAUUUCAUCUUGCUUGUGGAUCUUGACAUAUAUUCUACUAUGACUACAACCACAUGAUUGAAUUUUGGAAGCAAUGACCUCAAGAUAUUUGCAACUAUUGAUCUUGAUGUCAACAUUUCUCCUCAUAUCUUGAUUUGAUUCACCUGUAUUGUUACCUUAGUGAAGAAAUCAAUCACACUUUCACUUUAUGCCAUUUGAAGCAACUCAUGCAUUCUUUUGUGAGUUUGUAACCUCACCUCUUUCACCUUCUGAGCACCACUAAAAGAUUUCUCCAUGAUGUCUCAUGCUUCCUUCGAUGAGUUUACAUCACGAACUUUCUCAAAGUUGUCUGGAUCAACGCAUUGAUGGAUUAUAAAGAGAUCUUUGUAAUUUUUCUUCUACAAAUCAUUAUGUGCAGCCUUUUGUUCAUCUGUGGCAUUGUUGCAAAUUGUUGUUACUCAAUUCUUCACAAGAUCCCAAACAUCUUGAUAGCAGAAGACAACCUUCAUAUGCUUACACCAGUUUCCAUAAUUUUUUUCUUUCAAGAUGGGAAGAUUUGUUGGAAAAUGCCCGUUUGGAAGAGAAGUCGUUGUUCUAUGCUCCCCAAGAAUCGCAAUCAGUGCUCUAGAUACCAUAUGUUGGAAUCAAUCUUGAUAAAAAAAGAUUAUAUCACUUUCUUAAUUGAUUCAAGAUUCUCAUUCUUCACUCUUCACUCUUCACUUGAGUGAUUCAACCACACAUUAGUUGCAAGACGAUUCCCUCGCACAAUGAUUUAAAACGAAAGAUACUUUUGAAGUAAUGAGGGAGAAGAUAGAAUUGAGAAAGAGUAUGAGUUAUUGAAGUGAAAGGAGGGAAAUUUUAUUGAUCAAUAUGUUAAUAAUAAGUUUCUAUCUCAGUCUAUAUUGUACUAAUCUCAUUAUAAAUAAGAUUGUUUGCACAUCACACAAUCUCAAACUAACUAACUAAUUUUAACAAGCUAUUAUUCGACUCUAUCGAAUACAUAUUGCUUCGACUACGACUAAUUGUAUUCAACUCUUUGUCAAAUACAUGCAUUUUCAUCUACUAUAAAUUGUAUUUAAUUUUCUGUCAAAUACAUGUAAAUUCAACUAUUACAAAUUAUAUUCAACUAGUACUCUAAAUACUAUGUUCGACUUACAAACAUGUUUAAUACAAAAAAAAAAUUACCUAUUUAAUAAAUGGUUCACCGAACCGAACACAUUUGUUCGAUUUAAAAAACUUCAUUAUAGUUUAAUUCGGUUAUCUCCUAUGAAUAACCCUAAGGGAGAAAGGAUUUUGGAGUCCUAAGCAGCCGUGUGAUAAUAAAUAAGUACAUGGUAUGGUGAAUUGCAAUUAAUGAUUUGCAUAUCCUGUCUUGUUUAUUACUGCUAUCCUAACUUCCGAACUUAGUUAGAUGCAAAUUUGGUGAAAAACAUCACAUGCCCACACGUUCCAAGGUACCAACCCAUUCUGGCAUUCUUACAUUAACCGACAAUAAUGGUUACAACUUUCCCUUCAAUUAUUUAAUUUUUGUUACUAUAUCCAUACGUGUAAAACUGUACUACUAUCCACACACAUUGGGAUUGUUUUUCCAAAUUCUCAACUACGCAUUCAGAUUAUCAAAACUCAGUAAAUUUACCUCGCUAAUCACACUACACAACAACAUAAUGAGUCAUCAUAGAUUCAAUUAUCUACCAUUGUUCACUUCCUUGCCGAAUACGACAAUUUAGUUAAAUUCUCAUUAUAUGCUACCUUCACUCUCUUCUUACCCUUUACUCUAGGCACAAAAAUGAAUGGUUAUUCAAAGAUUGGUAGCACUCCUACUACUACAACCCAGAAAUCAAGAUCUAUAGAUUUUUCAGAUAUUUUCUCAUUUUCUCAAACACCAAAACCCAUCAGGAACACUACUACUGUUGUCCCUCCAACCACUCUUGAAGCAAUUAAUGAUAACGAGGUCAUCAAGAAUGAGGGAGAGAGAUUUGGAGUGAUACUAGGUAGGAGCUCUUCGGUUUCUUCUUCAUCUUGUUCUGCAUCUGGGUUUCAGGCA